AUCGCUUCUUGGCCUUUUGGCUAAGAUCAAGUGUAAAAAAUAACUAUUUUAUUUAGAGACAGAGUCUUUUUGAGUUGCUUAGAGCCUUGGGGGUUGCUGAGGCUGGCUUUGAAUUCUAGAUCCUCCUGCCUCAGCCUCUGAGCUGCUGGAAUUACAGGUAUGUGCCCAGCUGGUCAGUUUUACU
Marmota monax (woodchuck) is the source of this 184-nucleotide small nuclear RNA. RefSeq annotates it as U2 spliceosomal RNA. Lineage: Eukaryota; Metazoa; Chordata; Mammalia; Rodentia; Sciuridae. The record is from RefSeq and is a predicted model, not a curated record. The transcript has a single exon.